CCAAAAAUAAUAAACCCUCUCUUAAUCCAAAAAAGUAGAGUAUUUAUGGAAUAUAACAUCUAAAGUUAUUUCGCAUGACAAUCGAAUAUUUGUAGUUUCUAAUGGAGAUGGACAUCUAGGAUAUAUCACAACUAAACCCUAAAUUUUGAGGUCUAUUCGAAAACAUCAAGCUUUGAGGUGUAAAUAUAAAUCAUGAAAAGUUGAAGAGGUUUCAUUGUAAUUUACCCUUUCUCUGAUAUUUUUUAAAAAUAAUUAAAGUGC
RNAcentral lists this long non-coding RNA (261 nucleotides) under Elaeis guineensis (African oil palm). Its description in RNAcentral is "long non-coding RNA (EGUI_LNC051056)". The record is from RNAcentral. Lineage: Eukaryota; Viridiplantae; Streptophyta; Magnoliopsida; Arecales; Arecaceae.